RNAcentral lists this ribosomal RNA (253 nucleotides) under uncultured bacterium. RNAcentral describes it as "partial 16S ribosomal RNA". It matches the Rfam family "Bacterial small subunit ribosomal RNA", at positions 524 to 776 of the family's 1533-position model. The record is from RNAcentral.
GACGUAGGGCGCGAGCGUUGUCCGGAUUUAUUGGGCGUAAAGAGCUCGUAGGCGGCUUGUCGCGUCGUCCGUGAAAACUUGGGGCUCAACCCCAAGCUUGCGGUCGAUACGGGCAGGCUAGAGUUCGGUAGGGGAGACUGGAAUUCCUGGUGUAGCGGUGAAAUGUGUAGAGAUCGGGAGGAACACCGGUGGCGAAGGCGGGUCUCUGGGCAUCUCCUGACGCUGAGGCGCGAAAGCGUGGGGAGCAAACGGG